AGUUCGAUCUAGCUCAGAUUGAACGCUGGCGGGAUGGGCACUACACAUGCAAGUCGAACGGCAGCACGGACUUCGGUCUGGUGGCGAGUGGCGAACGGGUGAAGUAAUGUAUCGGAACGUGCCUAGUAGCGGGGGAUAACUACGUAGCUAAUACCGCAUACGCCCUUCGGGAAAGCAGGACCUUCGGGCCUCGCACUAUUAGAGCGGCCGAUAUCGGAUUAGCCCUAGUUGGUGGGGUAACGCUCACCAGGCGAUCCGUAGCUGGUUUGAGAGGACGACCAGCCACACUGGGACUGAGACCUGGCCCAGACUCCUACGGGGAGGCAGCAGUGGGGAAUUUUGGACAAUGAGGGAAACCACAGUCCAGCCAUCCCGCGUGUGCGAUGAAGGCCUUCGGGUUGUAAAGCACUUUUUUGGCAGGAAAGAAACAGCACGGGAUAAUACCCCGUGCAUGGCGAACCUGCAGAAUAAGCACCGGCUAACUACGUGCCAGCAGCCGCGGUAAUACGUAGGGUGCAAGCGUUAAUCGGAAUUACUGGGCGUAAAGCGUGCGCAGGCGGUUCCGGAAAGAAAGAUGUGAAAUCAGAAGCUUAACCUGGAACUGCAUUUUUAACUACCGAGCUAGAGAGUGUGUCAGAGGGAGGUGGAAUUCCGCGUGUAACAGUGAAAUGCGUAGAUAUGCGGAGAGAGAACACCGAUGGCGAAGGCAGCCUCCUGGGAUAACACUGACGCUCGGUAGUUAGUGCGGAUAAGGAUUUCACAUCUUUUCUUUCCGAACCUGCUGCGCACGCACCCGCCCGGUAAUUCCGAUUAACGCAACUUGCACCCUACGCGGCUGGCGCAUGAGUUAGCCGGUGCUUAUUCUGCGGGUACCGUCGGUUUUACGAGUGUUCCAUCCCGUGCCGUUCUUUCCUGCUAAAAAGUGAAGCGCAACCCCGAAGGCCUUCAUCGCACGCAGGAUGGCUUUAGGUCGAUUUCCCCAUUGUUGCCCGCACCCGUAGGAGUCUGGGCCGUCUCCCGGUGCAGUGUGGUCGUCCUCCGUGCGCAUGUUACCCCCGCCAGCCAAUCCGAUAUCGGCCGCUCUGGCGAGUGCGGGCCGAGCGGAGUCCCGCUUCCCGAGGGCGUAUGCGUGUGCUACAUGUCGAUCCGUCCCCCCGCUGCACUCAGAACACGUUCCGGCGACUACUCACCGUUCGCCGCAUAAGCCAUAUGGCACUUUGCGUAUUGUAAAGCAUCCGCCAUCUAUCUGAGCAACUUCUCUGUUCUGGUGUACAUGGCUA
RNAcentral lists this unclassified non-coding RNA (1280 nucleotides) under uncultured Bordetella sp. Its description in RNAcentral is "partial 16S-23S ribosomal RNA intergenic spacer". The stretch from base 1 to 798 matches the Rfam family "Bacterial small subunit ribosomal RNA", at positions 10 to 873 of the family's 1533-position model. Lineage: Bacteria; Pseudomonadati; Pseudomonadota; Betaproteobacteria; Burkholderiales; Alcaligenaceae. The record is from RNAcentral.